RNAcentral lists this unclassified non-coding RNA (234 nucleotides) under Cadophora sp. RNAcentral's name for it is "partial internal transcribed spacer region". The stretch from base 1 to 46 matches the Rfam family "Eukaryotic small subunit ribosomal RNA", at positions 1786 to 1831 of the family's 1831-position model. Lineage: Eukaryota; Fungi; Ascomycota; Leotiomycetes; Helotiales; Ploettnerulaceae. The record is from RNAcentral.
AAGUCGUAACAAGGUUUCCGUAGGUGAACCUGCGGAAGGAUCAUUACAGUGUUCCCUGCCCUUCGGGGUAGGAUCGCCACCCUUGAAUAAAUUACCUUUGUUGCUUUGGCGGGCCGCCUGGUGCCAGCGGCUUCGGCUGUUGCGUGCCCGCCAGAGGACCACAACUCUUGUUUUUAGUGAUGUCUGAGUACUAUAUAAUAGUUAAAACUUUCAACAACGGAUCUCUUGGUUCUG